This is an RNA transcript of Cornus florida, 1136 nucleotides long. RefSeq lists it as uncharacterized. Lineage: Eukaryota; Viridiplantae; Streptophyta; Magnoliopsida; Cornales; Cornaceae. The transcript has 11 exons. The record is from RefSeq and is a predicted model, not a curated record.
AAAUAUUAGCACUUCUCUUUUAGAAAAUAGAAAGUGGAUAUGGCCGUUGCGAGCUUCCGUUUAUGGCCUUCUCCUCCUCCUUCUUCUUGGCUUCUUGGUACGUCAAAGCCACCGCCUGAGCCUCGCUCUUCACACUGUUGUUGUUCCCCCAAACUCUCUCUCUCCUCCACUGAUAAAACCCUAAGAGAGAUUAAGAACUCCGGCAUUAUCGCUUGCCUUCGUGCCCAAAGUUCGGAGCUGGCAAUCGAAGCUGCACGUGCUGCACUAAGCGGUGGCAUUUCAGUUCUGGAGAUUGUGAUGUCCACCCCAGGUGUGUUUGAGGUUUUACAACAGCUGGUUCAGGACCAUCCUACAACAGUAUUAGGAGUUGGGACUGUUUUAAAUACCAAGGAUGCGAAUAAUGCCAUAAAUGCAGGAGCCAAAUUCCUUAUGAGUCCUGCAAUGGUGAAGGGCAUUGUGGAUGAUAUUCAAGGUGGUGAUAUUCUAUACAUACCUGGUGCAAUGACCCCAACAGAAAUACUAUCAGCAUAUAAUGCUGGUUCAAAAAUUGUCAAGGUUUAUCCCGUUUCUGCAUCAGGUGGCAUCCAGUAUAUAUCAGCACUCAACAAGCCAUUUUCUCAUAUCCCAAUGGUUGCUUCUCAAGGCAUACAAAUAGAUCUAAUAGAGGAAUAUAUUGCUCAUGGAGCUGCAGCUGUUGUUCUGUCAGAUGCUAUUUUUGAUAAAGAAGCAAUGGGUCAACGGAACUUCAAUGCAAUAUAUCACCUCGCCCACAUUGCAGCUAUGCAAGGCAGCGAAGCAGUAGAAAGGAAGAGAAGAUGCAAUCUUAACUAAUUGUUUUGUGAAUGAGCCUGUAAAGAUUAUAUUCUAAUUGCUAAAUGGAAUGAAGAAGUUAAGUGACGCCUUAUACAGACCGGAAAGUUUUAGAUCGAACUCUAAAUCAAAUUGAAGCUGAGCGAUAUUGACCUGCAAUUACACCAAAGCUUGAGUAUAUUACUUGGAUGAGAAGCAUGUGAAUAUAUGAAUGUUGUUGUACCAGUCUUCUGCCAUAGAUUGGAUGAAUGUACCUGAGGAAUCCUUAUUCCUGGGGAAUCUUUGUUUCAAUAUAUAUAUAUAUUCUCUUAAAUUAAUUUGGAACU